RNAcentral lists this ribosomal RNA (303 nucleotides) under uncultured bacterium. RNAcentral describes it as "bacterial SSU rRNA". It matches the Rfam family "Bacterial small subunit ribosomal RNA", at positions 28 to 334 of the family's 1533-position model. The record is from RNAcentral.
GGUGAACGCUAGCGGGAGGCUUAACACAUGCAAGCCGAGGGGUAUGUUUCUUUCGGGAAACAGAGACCGGCGUACGGGUGAGUAACGCGUAUGUAACUUGCCCUGUUCACUGGGAUAGCCCUCCGAAAGGGGGAUUAAUACUAGAUAACAUAUAGAUUGGCAUCGAUUUAUAUUGAAAGAUUUAUCGGAACAGGAUAGACAUGCGUAUGAUUAGGUAGUUGGUAGAGUAAUGGCCACCAAGCCGAUGAUCAUUAGGGGGCCUGAGAGGGUGAUCCCCCACACUGGUACUGAGACACGGACCAG